AGUGAACGCUGGCGGUAGGCCUAACACAUGCAAGUCGAACGGCAGCACAGGAGAGCUUGCUCUCUGGGUGGCGAGUGGCGGACGGGUGAGGAAUACAUCGGAAUCUACUCUGUCGUGGGGGAUAACGUAGGGAAACUUACGCUAAUACCGCAUACGACCUACGGGUGAAAGCAGGGGACCUUCGGGCCUUGCGCGAUUGAAUGAGCCGAUGUCGGAUUAGCUAGUUGGCGGGGUAAAGGCCCACCAAGGCGACGAUCCGUAGCUGGUCUGAGAGGAUGCUCAGCCACACUGGAACUGAGACACGGUCCAGACUCCUACGGGAGGCAGCAGUGGGGAAUAUUGGACAAUGGGCGCAAGCCUGAUCCAGCCAUACCGCGUGGGUGAAGAAGGCCUUCGGGUUGUAAAGCCCUUUUGUUGGGAAAGAAAUCCAGCUGGCUGAUACCCGGUUGGGAUGACGGUACCCAAAGAAUAAGCACCGGCUAACUUCGUGCCAGCAGCCGCCGUAA
RNAcentral lists this ribosomal RNA (506 nucleotides) under uncultured bacterium. Its description in RNAcentral is "partial 16S ribosomal RNA". It matches the Rfam family "Bacterial small subunit ribosomal RNA", at positions 29 to 523 of the family's 1533-position model. The record is from RNAcentral.